Molecule: transfer RNA, 73 nt
Filed under: Pristionchus pacificus
Lineage: Eukaryota; Metazoa; Nematoda; Chromadorea; Rhabditida; Neodiplogasteridae
Description: tRNA-Tyr (GTA) (tRNA-Tyr-GTA-6-1)
Rfam family: tRNA
About the family: Transfer RNA (tRNA) molecules are approximately 80 nucleotides in length. Their secondary structure includes four short double-helical elements and three loops (D, anti-codon, and T loops).
Source: Rfam by way of RNAcentral
CCAACCAUAGCUCACUUGGUAGAGCGGAGGACUGUAGAUCCUUAGGUCACUGGUUCGAAUCCGGUUGGUUGGA